RNAcentral lists this ribosomal RNA (440 nucleotides) under uncultured bacterium. RNAcentral's name for it is "partial 16S ribosomal RNA". It matches the Rfam family "Bacterial small subunit ribosomal RNA", at positions 338 to 795 of the family's 1533-position model. The record is from RNAcentral.
CCUACGGGGGGCAGCAGUGGGGAAUAUUGCACAAUGGGGGGAACCCUGAUGCAGCGACGCCGCGGGAGUGAAGAAGUAUUUCGGUAUGUAAAGCUCUAUCAGCAGGGAAGAAAAUGACGGUACCUGACUAAGAAGCCCCGGCUAACUACGUGCCAGCAGCCGCGGUAAUACGUAGGGGGCAAGCGUUAUCCGGAUUUACUGGGUGGAAAGGGAGCGUAGACGGCAGCGCAAGUCUGAAGUGAAAGCCCGCGGCCCAACUGCGGGACUGCUUUGGAAACUGCCCGGCUAGAGGGCGGGAGAGGUAAGCGGAAUUCCGAGGUGAGCGGUGAAAGGCGGAGAUAUUAGGAGGAAAACCAGGGGCGGAGGCGGCUUACUGGACAGGAACUGACGGUGAGGCUCGAAAGCGUGGGGAGCAAACAGGAUUAGAUACCCCUGUAGUC